RNAcentral lists this microRNA precursor (125 nucleotides) under Amborella trichopoda. RNAcentral's name for it is "pre miRNA mir-166". It matches the Rfam family "mir-166 microRNA precursor family". Rfam says of the family: This family represents the plant microRNA (miRNA) precursor mir-166. Animal miRNAs are transcribed as ~70nt precursors and subsequently processed by the Dicer enzyme to give a ~22nt product. The record is from RNAcentral. Lineage: Eukaryota; Viridiplantae; Streptophyta; Magnoliopsida; Amborellales; Amborellaceae.
UUUGUGUGGAAUGAGGUUUGAUCCAAGAUCUCUUUCCAUAUGUGGAUCAUGUGAACUUGCACCUUUGCAUGUUGGCAAACCCUCUUCUAUGAAUAGAUCUCGGACCAGGCUUCAUUCCCCACACU